GAUAGGGAAAUGCGAAAUCACCUCAUCAUUUGAAUUCAGAAAGAACUUUAGGCUGACAAUGGUCUCUUUCCAGCCAUCCCAUGGGAUCUUCAAUAACCAAAGCUGUUAUUCCUUUCUUAAGAAUGCAUUGAACCAAUCUUGAAUGUAAAGUGCCCCUGAAAAUAUUGGGACAGCAAAGUCAACACUGUUACAUACUCUCUCCAAGAUUCCACCUCCUCUUCAGUUCUCAUCUUGUGCCUCUCUUUCUUCAUCAAUAAACUCAAUACAUCAUCCAAGGUAAUGGGGACUCCCUCCACCACCUC
Molecule: long non-coding RNA, 302 nt
Organism: Lepisosteus oculatus (spotted gar)
Lineage: Eukaryota; Metazoa; Chordata; Actinopteri; Semionotiformes; Lepisosteidae
Source: RefSeq, a predicted model, not a curated record